Molecule: ribosomal RNA, 424 nt
Filed under: uncultured bacterium
Lineage: Bacteria
Description: bacterial SSU rRNA
Rfam family: Bacterial small subunit ribosomal RNA
Source: RNAcentral
UCGAGGAUAUUUAGCAAUGGGGGAAACCCUGACUAUGUGACGCCGCGUGAGGGAUGAAGGUUCUCGGAUCGUAAACCUCUUUCGAUGGGAAAGAACUCUCUAGUUAACUGCUAGAGCUGACGGUACCCAGAGAAGAAGCCACGGCCAACUCCGUGCCAGCAGCCGCGGUAAUACGGGGGUGGCGAGCGUUACUCGGAUUUAUUGGGUGUAAAGGGCAGGUAGGUGGCUAUGCAAGUUGGAGGUGAAAUCCUUUGGCUCAACCAAAGAACUGCCUUCAAAACUGCAUAACUUGAGGACAGAAGAGGAAAGCGGAAUUCCCGGUGUAAGAGUGAAAUCUGUAGAUAUCGGGAGGAACACCCGUGGCGAAGGCGGCUUUCUGGUCUGUCCCUGACACUGAGCUGCGAAAGCUAGGGGAGCAAACAGG